This 303-nucleotide long non-coding RNA is filed under the name Mytilus galloprovincialis (Mediterranean mussel). Lineage: Eukaryota; Metazoa; Mollusca; Bivalvia; Mytilida; Mytilidae. The record is from RNAcentral.
AUCCAUGUUUUUCUUUUUUCCUAAAUGUCCUGUGAUUGUAAAGUGCUUCCUUUUCUUUUCUCUGUUUUCAACGAGUCAACUGAUCUUUUUAGCAGGAAUCCGGAUGGAGAACUGUUAACUGUACAUGUGUUUAUGUUAAAAGAGUUGUUUGAUGUGUUAGAUUCAAUUAUAGGUUCUGCAGUAUAUAUUUGGAUGUCAUCAGAGUACCUGAUUCCGAUGGAACUAGUCAAGGUGGACUAUUUGAUUCAUCAUUAACUGAUCGAAUAGUUGUACUGUCAGAGUGACAGCUUUACUAAAUUGCAG